Molecule: ribosomal RNA, 320 nt
Filed under: uncultured eukaryote
Lineage: Eukaryota
Description: partial 18S ribosomal RNA
Rfam family: Eukaryotic small subunit ribosomal RNA
Source: RNAcentral
CCCCUAGAUGUUCUGGGCCGCACGCGCGCUACACUGAACAGUUCAACAAGUCUUAACCUUGGCCGAUAGGUCUGGGUAAUCUUUGAACGCUGUUCGUGAUUGGGAUAGACCUUUGCAAUUAUGGGUCUUCAACGAGGAAUUCCUAGUAAACGCAAGUCAUCAGCUUGCAUUGAUUACGUCCCUGCCCUUUGUACACACCGCCCGUCGCACCUACCGAUUGAAUGGUCCGGUGAAAUCUCGGGACGGCGGCUUGGUCGCUUGCGUCCGACUGCUGAAACUUGAUUAAACCAUAUCAUUUAGAGGAAGGUGAAGUCGUACCA